RNAcentral lists this small nuclear RNA (164 nucleotides) under Propithecus coquereli (Coquerel's sifaka). Its description in RNAcentral is "U1 spliceosomal RNA (ENSPCOG00000000212.1)". It matches the Rfam family "U1 spliceosomal RNA". Rfam says of the family: U1 is a small nuclear RNA (snRNA) component of the spliceosome (involved in pre-mRNA splicing). Its 5' end forms complementary base pairs with the 5' splice junction, thus defining the 5' donor site of an intron. Lineage: Eukaryota; Metazoa; Chordata; Mammalia; Primates; Indriidae. The record is from Rfam by way of RNAcentral.
AUACUUACCUGGCAGGGGAAAUAUCAUGAUUGCCAAGGCAGUUUUCCCAGGGCGAGGCUCGUCCAUUGCACUCUGGGUGUGCUGAUCUCUGUGGUUUUCCCAAAUGUGGCAAAACUGACUGCAUAAUUUUUGGUAGUGGGGGACUGCAUUUGUUCUUUCUCCUA